RNAcentral lists this long non-coding RNA (444 nucleotides) under Brassica napus (rape). RNAcentral describes it as "long non-coding RNA (BNAP_LNC000037)". Lineage: Eukaryota; Viridiplantae; Streptophyta; Magnoliopsida; Brassicales; Brassicaceae. The record is from RNAcentral.
UUGAUCCAUAUCUAAUUUGAUAAUGGACUUUUCUUUGUUGUGCAUAGGACUCUUUUGCGGUUCGGUUUUUGCUUCCACGGGGUGAAAGUUUGAAAAGCCCAUGUGCCUUAAUCACGCGGGAAAGGUUUGUAUUAGUAGAUCUGUAAGCUCAAAAUGGUAGAGCUCUCGUUAUGAGAGGUUGGUGGUUCGAAUCCACCCAGAUCUGUCCGUCUUCCUCACCCUUUUUUAGAUUUAACUGAUUUUGAAUUUCAAUUGUUAUGAUCUUCUGCAUUGGCAUUUGGCGCUAGGGAGUAGGAAUUCGUCAUCGGUAAGCAAUGACGAUAAUUAACUAUGUAACUUGGAUUACAAUCAACUAAGCAAAGAUUUUCAUCCACUUAAGGAAAAGUCUUCCUAAUACAUGUAUACUUUUCUUUUGGAACUCCCAAAUAAUCAUCAACAUGGGUU